GAACACCUGGAGAUGAAGACAAGGAAGAUGUCAGUUUCUACAUUAAGUAACAAACUAGAAAGAAAACAACUUUUUUUCUCCUUCACAAAAACAUACCAAAUGGGAACUGCGCAACCAUCUUUGGAGAUGUGAGAGGCUCUGAAAUGCCAAAUCGGUUUUCAGCACGGACCCGGAAGAUGUACUCCUGGCCUGGGAUCAGCUUUCCAACCCUGCAGGAAGUUUUUGUGACUGAAGCUAGAGCCGUGACCCAGUCACCUCGGCUUACAUCACACUUCUCCACUAUAUAAUUGGUGAUGUUACUGCCUCCGUCCUCCAGAGGGAUGUGCCAUGACAGGGAGCAAGCAUCAGCGUCUAUAUCAGAAAUGUCAAAUGGAGGCUGAGGGGGGCCGGGGGCAUCUACAUGAACCAAGAGGAAAGAAAUGCCAGUGACAACAAGGCUCAGAUCUUUUACCACUGAGUACUCUGUCCAGCGAUCUGCAGGCUGCUCUUCUUCUCUGUAACUAGUGAUGUAGCCAUCGAUUUUAGCACCUCCAUCACGUAGGGGAGGUAACCAGGCUAAGGUGGCACUGUUCUUGGUCAUUUCAGUCACUUCUAAUUUCCUUGGGGGAUCCGGCUCACCUAGAAGAAAAACAUAAUUUAGAAGAUUACCUAGGUGGCUGCCAUGAGAUAGUCAUGUGUUCAGGAGUAACAUCCAGAAUAUUAAUAGGACCUGUUGGUGGCCCAGGAACAUCAAGAACAGUAAGAUGUACGGCUACUGUUUUGCUACCGGCUGCAUUGGAAACUGUGAUUUGAUAUUCCCCAGUGUCUCUCCU
Molecule: long non-coding RNA, 812 nt
Organism: Homo sapiens (human)
Lineage: Eukaryota; Metazoa; Chordata; Mammalia; Primates; Hominidae
Gene: TTN-AS1
Product: TTN antisense RNA 1
Source: Ensembl